AGGCCGCGGGCUCCAUGCAUCAUAUACUCGUUCGGCAUAAACAAUGACUUCUCGUUUGACAACGAAGCAGUAAAAAUGUUUGGAUGUGAUGUGUUCUGCUUUGAUCCGAGCAUGAAUCAGGAGUCGAAACGCAUUUCAGACCAUGUCUGGUUUUACAAUUGGGGACUUUCUGGAGAGACUACGGUCGACAAGCAAGGCUGGAAGAUGAAAACUCCGAGAACCAUUAGAAAUGAACUCGGACAACACCUUAUAAUUAAAGUGUAUACUUGCAUACAUGUAGUCUGAAGUUAAUCAUUGUGCUGGCUGUGUAUACAGUACGGAAAAUGUUACCAUAAACAUACAAACAAGAUAAACAGCAGCAACACAA
Long non-coding RNA from Dreissena polymorpha, 367 nucleotides. RefSeq lists it as uncharacterized. The transcript is spliced from 3 exons. The record is from RefSeq and is a predicted model, not a curated record. NCBI's taxonomy places the organism in Eukaryota, Metazoa, Mollusca, Bivalvia, Myida, Dreissenidae.